AUUACUUCUCGGCCUUUUGGCUAAGAUUAAGUGAAGAAUC
RNAcentral lists this small nuclear RNA (40 nucleotides) under Cervus elaphus hippelaphus. Lineage: Eukaryota; Metazoa; Chordata; Mammalia; Artiodactyla; Cervidae. The record is from RNAcentral.